RNAcentral lists this unclassified non-coding RNA (277 nucleotides) under plant metagenome. Its description in RNAcentral is "partial contains small subunit ribosomal RNA, internal transcribed spacer 1, and 5.8S ribosomal RNA". The stretch from base 229 to 277 matches the Rfam family "5.8S ribosomal RNA", at positions 1 to 49 of the family's 154-position model. The record is from RNAcentral.
UCUCCGUAGGUGAACCUGCGGAAGGAUCAUUAAUGAAUUCCAUUUAUUUGGAUUUUAACAAUCCAUCCACCUUAUGUGCACCGUAAUUGUCUCUGGCGGUUUACUUGCAACGUGUGAUUGGGACUUUGGUCCCGGUUUGCGCAUUGUCGGUGGCCGCCGCUGGGAACUUGUUCCCAUUGAUACACUUGUACUUAAUAUUGACUGAUAUGUUUUUAAAUUAAUAAAAACAACUUUUGACAACGGAUCUCUUGGCUCUCACAUCGAUGAAGAACGCAGC